GAUGAACGCUGGCGGCGUGCCUAAUACAUGCAAGUCGAGCGAACGGACCAUAAGCUUGCUUCUCUGAUGUUAGCGGCGGACGGGUGAGUAACACGUGUAUCCCCUACCUAUAAGACUGGGAUAACUUCGGGAAUCCGGCUCUAACACCGGAUAAUCUUUUGCACCGUAUGGUUCAAAAGUGAAAGACGGUCUUGCUGUCACUUCUAGAUGGAUCCGCGCUGCAUUAGCUAGUUGGUAAGGUCACGGCGUAGCAAGGCGAGGAUGCCUAGCCGACGUGAGAGGGGGAUAGGCCACACGGGAGCGUGGACGCGGACCAGGCGCCUGAGGGAGGCAGCAGUAUGGAAUCUGCCGCAGUGGGCGAGAGCCUGACGGAGCGGCGCCGCGUGAGUGGCGAAGGUCUUCGGAUCGGAAAGCUCGGUUAUGAGUGAAGAACAGAUUUGGAAGGAACUGUGGACAUCUUGACGGUACCGAGUAAGAAAGCCACGGCUAACUACGUG
This 497-nucleotide ribosomal RNA is filed under the name uncultured bacterium. RNAcentral describes it as "partial 16S ribosomal RNA". It matches the Rfam family "Bacterial small subunit ribosomal RNA", at positions 28 to 507 of the family's 1533-position model. The record is from RNAcentral.